GUUUGAGGGUUAGGGUUAGAGAGGGUUAGAAGGUUAGGGCAGAACAAGCUGGAUACACAUUUCGUACGUGUUAACCCCAUAUUUGCUCUCUUCCACCCCCAGAAGAACCACAACGCUAGUUAGUGUAAAGGUUGCCAUGCAAUGAUGUCACUAACUUUAGAACUUUUAACUCCAUGAACAUGGAUUAAACAUUCUGACUAAACUAGAUGCCUGUUUAACGGUUUGCCUGUUACGAUCUUAAACUCUCUCGUAGGGACAUCGCAGAUGUUCCCGCAUCUCAGCCAUCACUUUGACCAAUGUAAUGUUAUCAAUCGUUACGAACUACGGCAAAAACUGGAAUUAUCCUUUAAACGUUCCCAAUACCGAUCGGGCCGAUGAAACAUCUACCUACGAAAAGUGUCGCCGAGGAUGAUCGGCGUCAUCUACCUUCCAUUCAGUUCAUAGCCGAACCUUUCCAAGCAGCAUUUUGGGGAAUGUAUCAGCCAUAAUGGACCUUUAUGUUUUUCUAAAACAAAAUGAACUCUCUGAAUUCUCCCUCCGUGAGCUGCGAGUCGCCGCGUGUCAUGUUGAUGGUCCUCGACGGAAAAGCCGCUCUGUAACGCGGAUGGCGGGGAGAAACCUUUUGGCUUCCUCCCGCGCUUCCCUGGUCACGCUACACCCACCGACACGAGGGCGAAUCACCUCCCGACGCCCGUUGGUUGGCUUGUUUCUCUGUGCUCGGCUUCCGGGCGUCACUCACUGCACGCGGAAGUCGUGCGUGUUUUUCCAACAGGGACAAAUAGACACAAAUUGCACUACUAACCGUAUAAUGCAACAUAGUAGAAAGGCUGUGUUUCAUAGAUUCUGUUUGUGGAAUAGGUUUUUCUGUAGGUCCGAAGAACAAAUAAUACCGUGUACCGUACUCUUCAGAGGAGACUACAUCCCGUCCGCGUGGGUUUAUUUUGCGGUCACGUUGGACCGGACCGACGUCUUCUGUCGACCUUUUGGAUCCCGUGUCUGUACAGCGACCCCCUGUUUUUUUCGCCACGCAGGGAAGGAGUUGUCGAGAAUCGUUGCAGAGUGAGAUGAACAUUUUACAUAACAUUUUACAUUUGUAUGUUUUCUUUUCUUUUGGUGCGCGUGUGCAUGAUUUGGUGUGGGUGACUCCCUCUCGCACAGCCUGAGUGCAGCCAUCACACACUUGAAUAAAAUGAUGAGCCUCCUUCUGAAACCCUCUGUCUUGUUCUAACUGCUUAUUAUUGCCCAUGGGGUUUUACAUUGUUAAAAAAC
Molecule: long non-coding RNA, 1269 nt
Organism: Gasterosteus aculeatus aculeatus (three-spined stickleback)
Lineage: Eukaryota; Metazoa; Chordata; Actinopteri; Perciformes; Gasterosteidae
Source: Ensembl